RNAcentral lists this ribosomal RNA (253 nucleotides) under uncultured bacterium. RNAcentral's name for it is "partial 16S ribosomal RNA". It matches the Rfam family "Bacterial small subunit ribosomal RNA", at positions 524 to 776 of the family's 1533-position model. The record is from RNAcentral.
UACGUAGGGUGCAAGCGUUGUCCGGAAUUAUUGGGCGUAAAGAGCUCGUAGGCGGCUUGUCGCGUCGGCUGUGAAAACCUGGGGCUCAACCCCGGGCCUGCAGCCGAUACGGGCAAGCUAGAAUUCGGUAGGGGAGACUGGAAUUCCUGGUGUAGCGGUGAAAUGCGCAGAUAUCAGGAAGAACACCUAUGGCGAAGGCAGCGCGCGGGGACGGGACUGACGCUGAGGCGCGAAAGCGGGGGGAGCGAACGGG